CUUCCCAUAAUGUGGAAUCAGUGGGAGCCCUGAGCUUGUUUUCCUGCAACUGGACGGUCACAUCUAGGGAUGAUGGAAGCCAGGGACACAUCAUUAGGGAUGAGAUUCUCAUAAGGAGCACGCAACCUAGACCCCUCCAAUGUGCAGUUCACAACAGGGUUCACCCUCCUAGGAGAAUCCAGCGCUGCUGCUGACCUGACAGGAGGCGGAGCUCAGGCGGUAAUGCCAGCGAUGGGGAGCAGCUGUAAAUACAGAUGAAGCUUUGCUCCCUGGCCUGAAGCUCACCUCCUGCUGUGUGGCCUGACCGGUAUGUGUCUGUGGCCCUGGCGGUCGGGGAGCCCUGAUUUACAGAGCAGCCACAAUGAGGAAGACACUUGUGCUCAAGAACAAGGAGGAAGAGCAUUAAACUGUAAUCGAAGAAGCAGAAUUGCAAACUUGCUACUGACUCAGUCUCCAGGGCUUAACUUCACCCUUGGCAUCAUAAGUUUAGAGAGUCCUGAAGUUUUUUUUAACAAAAUGUAUAUAUGAGAUAGUUUGGGUGUGAACACAGCUGCUAAAUGUGUGAACAUAGUGUAGUGUGGUGCACUGUAAUGGUGUGAGAGGCAAGAGACCAGACUUCUGGGCAGCUAAAGCAGCAGGCCGGCAAGGCAGGGCACUGGAGGGGAAGAAGCUUAGCAAGAGUGGGGAGCCGAAGUCGAUGUAGGGUUCCCUGAAAGUCCUUGGCCUAGGCUGGACUACACGUGUGGGACGACUCUAUGGGUUUACCAGGAAGCGGCUGUUACAGAGUUGAGGAUGGCACAAAGACUAGAGGUCCAGUAGUGCUACAGGAAAGGACUUUCCGUUUUGUUUUCUUUUCAGACAGUCUUGUUCUGUCACCUAGGCUGGGGUGCAGUGGUUUGAUCGUUAUCUCAGUGCAGCCUAGAACUUCUGGGCUCAAGUGAUCCUCCCACCUCAGCCUCCCAAGUAGUUGGGACCACAGGUAGGUGCCACCACACCCAGCUCAUUGUCUUGUAUUUUGAUUAGAGAUGGCGGGGUUUUGCCAUGUUGCCCAGGCUGGUCUUGAACUCCUGGGCUCAAGCCAGCCACCCGCUCUGGCCCCCGAAAGUGCUGGGAUUACAGGCGUGAGCCACUGCACCCAGUCUGGUUUCUACAUUUUUAAAUGGUUAGGGGAAAAAAGCCAAAAAAAGAAUGACACUUUGUGACACAUGAAAAUUAUAGAAAAUUCAAAUUUCAGUGUCCACAAAUGAAAUUUUAUUAGAAAAUAGUCAUCCAUGGCUGGGCGUGGUGGCUCAUGCCUGUAAUCCUAGCACUUUGGGAGGCCAAGGCAGGUGGAUCACUUGAGGCUAGGAGUUCGAGACCAGCCUGGACGACACAGUGAAAUCGUAUCUAGUAAAAAUAUACAAAUUAGCUGGGAGUGGUGUUGUGCACCUGUAAUUCCAGCUACUUGGGAGACUGAGGCAUUAAGAAUUGCCUGAGCCCAGGAGGCAGAGGUUGCAGUAAGCUGAGAUCAUGACACUGCACUCCAGCCUGGGUGACUGAGUGAGACUCUGUCUCAAUAAGAAAAGAAAGAAAAGAAAAGAAGUCAUCAUGUUUGUACACCUCUUAUCUGUGGCUGCUUCUGUGCUCUAAUGAGAACAGCUGUGGCAAGGCUGUGCGGCCGGCAAAGGUGUCGAUAUUUAUCUACCGUCAGGCACUUUACAGAAAAUAUGUCGGUUCCCUUUCUCCUUCCUAACAAGGUUUGUCUUUUUACCCCUGGACAGAGGAGUCCCACCGAGUUAGACACUUAGAGAUGUGGGCCUGUCUUCUGGCUGGACAGGAAUAGCUCCACUCACCACACUUUUAAAUCACACACGUGAAACUACUCACCAU
Molecule: long non-coding RNA, 1869 nt
Filed under: Homo sapiens (human)
Lineage: Eukaryota; Metazoa; Chordata; Mammalia; Primates; Hominidae
Description: HSALNT0404475
Source: RNAcentral